GAUGAACGCUGGCGGCGUGCCUAAUACAUGCAAGUCGAGCGAACAGACGAGGAGCUUGCUCCUCUGAUGUUAGCGGCGGACGGGUGAGUAACACGUGGAUAACCUACCUAUAAGACUGGGAUAACUUCGGGAAACCGGAGCUAAUACCGGAUAACAUGUUGAACCGCAUGGUUCAACAGUGAAAGACGGUCUGGCUGUCACUUAUAGAUGGAUCCGCGCCGCAUUAGCUAGUUGGUAAGGUAACGGCUUACCAAGGCAACGAUGCGUAGCCGACCUGAGAGGGUGAUCGGCCACACUGGAACUGAGACACGGUCCAGACUCCUACGGGAGGCAGCAGUAGGGAAUCUUCCGCAAUGGGCGAAAGCCUGACGGAGCAACGCCGCGUGAGUGAAGAAGGUCUUCGGAUCGUAAAACUCUGUUAUUAGGGAAGAACAAAUGUGUAAGUAACUAUGCACGUCUUGACGGUACCUAAUCAGAAAGCCACGGCUAACUACGUG
RNAcentral lists this ribosomal RNA (497 nucleotides) under uncultured bacterium. RNAcentral's name for it is "partial 16S ribosomal RNA". It matches the Rfam family "Bacterial small subunit ribosomal RNA", at positions 28 to 507 of the family's 1533-position model. The record is from RNAcentral.